AUAGCCUGAGGACGCACUGGUGGAUUUAUGUAUUAGGUGUAACCUUAAUAAACACCCCACCAGCGCAGAAACACGUGUAGUGUUGAUUAAAAAUAUAUUUUUUCACCACAGACUAAUAACGGCCAUUUGACUGAACCCGGAGCCAUGUGUUUGGUUAGCAAGCUACUUACCACACAGCCACUCGGCCACUCCUGCGCCUAUGCAACGAUUAACAAUAUAUAUCAGGAUGAGCUACCAUUAUUCGUUUGCCGAACAAGCAAGAAAGACAACUUCGAACACUUGUCGAUCCUCACCGAGUAGACGCUCCAACUAUGACGAUAACAUUCUACACGUGUCCUGUGUCACCAACCCCAAUGUGUCCUCCUGUUUUUUAUAAGACAAUAUGGCUUGGCAUGUGGUGACCACAUAAAAGCUAUCUCUGCUGCCUCGCUGCGACUCCUUUUCCUGCUGUUGUUAUUGUUGAACUUCACGUCUGCUCUGAUUCAGCAUACCUGUGUUCAAAGGUGUGUCAGACAUUACCUUUUCGUCUUCUUUACAAAUAGUGUGUAUGAAAAUUACAAUACCCAAUGAACACUUCCUCAUCAAAACUGCAGGGUAUGGUUUCAAGAAGGUUUGGCUGUUAUUUCAGAAGAAACGUAUAACACGGAAGAUUCCUGUUGAAAAAUAAAUUCAUGUUCAAGUGGGAGAUAUAUCUACGAGUGGGUGCUAAAAUGUUCCUGGUUCUAAGGGUGUCGCGAAAGGCCUGGUUGGAAGCUCAACCUUUCAAGUUCUUUUACAGGUUUAGAAAAACUGAAGGACCGCUGCAAUAAGUGUGUGAAUCUGAGAGGGGAAUAU
Molecule: long non-coding RNA, 834 nt
Organism: Octopus bimaculoides (California two-spot octopus)
Lineage: Eukaryota; Metazoa; Mollusca; Cephalopoda; Octopoda; Octopodidae
Source: RefSeq, a predicted model, not a curated record